CGCCGUCCCUCACGGACUUUUGUGCAAUUCUAUGGUACCUGUUAGUGUCUAGAAUUUACAGGGUUUGUGUUACGAGCAGUGACCCUCAGUCACUCACCGGUUUUCUUCCGGCACCAGGCUCUGUACACCUCUUUCAUGGAAUUUCGCUCUAGGACUCCGCCGUCCCUCAUGGAUUUUUGUGCAAUUCUAUGGUACCUGUUAGUGUCUAGAAUUUACAGGGUUUGUGUUACGAGCAGUGACCCUCAGUCACUCGCCGUUUUUCUUCCGGUACAAACAACAAAGCUGCUCUGUUUCAUACAAUGGAGCUUUUCAAGUUCAGAGUUAAGAAGCUACUGGAUUGAAGUUAACCACCAACUCGAUUUCCUGUUGGAAUAAAUACAGUGAACCUGAAAGUGUCUGCCGUGAUGUCAAUCUACUGGACCCGAGACGAACAAAGAAGGGUUCCAAAAAGACUCCUGUGAAAAAGAAAUGUAUUUCUAAAUAAACCCUUUUCAGCCAGA
Molecule: long non-coding RNA, 500 nt
Organism: Xiphophorus couchianus (Monterrey platyfish)
Lineage: Eukaryota; Metazoa; Chordata; Actinopteri; Cyprinodontiformes; Poeciliidae
Exons: 2
Source: RefSeq, a predicted model, not a curated record